Long non-coding RNA from Zophobas morio, 342 nucleotides. RefSeq lists it as uncharacterized. NCBI's taxonomy places the organism in Eukaryota, Metazoa, Arthropoda, Insecta, Coleoptera, Tenebrionidae. The transcript is spliced from 3 exons. The record is from RefSeq and is a predicted model, not a curated record.
CCUACCAACACCACGUGGUCUUGAUCUUAUUGUUCCUGAAUAUUGGAAACUUUUGACUUUGUGGUUUCUCCAAUACGAGAAGAAUAAUAUCUAUCACUGCCUUUACACAAAAUAUUUUAUGUCAUGCGUUUUGUCCGGCCACGUGACAACCUUGUCUUGGUUUUUUGGUAAAACAGAUCUCGUUACUCACCUUGUAGAAGUUUCAACUACGAAUGAAGAAAGGAAAGCACACGCUCUACUGAUGUGCGGGAUACUCAAAUAUGCCUCGCAGCGGCAAACUUGUGAUUCUUAUAUAAACACGCUAUUAUAUAAAAAUUUGAGCUGGAAAAAAUAUUCUCAAAC